RNAcentral lists this ribosomal RNA (147 nucleotides) under uncultured marine bacterium. RNAcentral describes it as "partial small subunit ribosomal RNA". It matches the Rfam family "Bacterial small subunit ribosomal RNA", at positions 357 to 497 of the family's 1533-position model. The record is from RNAcentral.
GGGAAUAUUGCACAAUGGGGGAAACCCUGAUGCAGCCAUGCCGCGUGUGUGAAGAAGGCCUUCGGGUUGUAAAGCUCUUUCAGUUGUGAGGAAAGGGAUGUAGUUAAUAGCUGCAGUCUGUGACGUAACAUCAGAAGAAGCACCGGC